UGGGGAAUAUUGCACAAUGGGCGAAAGCCUGAUGCAGCAACGCCGCGUGAGUGAUGAAGGCCUUCGGGUUGUAAAGCUCUGUCUUUUGGGACGAUAAUGACGGUACCAAAGGAGGAAGUCACGGCUAACUACGUGCCAGCAGCCGCGGUAAUACGUAGGUGGCAAGCGUUGUCCGGAUUUACUGGGCGUAAAGGAUGCGUAGGCGGAUUUUUAAGUGAGAUGUGAAAUACCCGGGCUUAACUUGGGUGCUGCAUUUCAAACUGGGAAUCUAGAGUGCGGGAGAGGAGAAUGGAAUUCCUAGUGUAGCGGUGAAAUGCGUAGAGAUUAGGAAGAACACCAGUGGCGAAGGCGAUUCUCUGGACCGUAACUGACGCUGAGGCAUGAAAGCGUGGGUAGCAAACAGGAUUAGAUACCCUGGUAGUCCACGCCGUAAACGAUGAGUACUAGGUGUAGGAGGUAUCGACCCCUUCUGUGCCGCAGUUAACACAAUAAGUACUCCGCCUGGGAAGUACGAUCGCAAGAUU
RNAcentral lists this ribosomal RNA (524 nucleotides) under uncultured bacterium. Its description in RNAcentral is "partial 16S ribosomal RNA". It matches the Rfam family "Bacterial small subunit ribosomal RNA", at positions 355 to 895 of the family's 1533-position model. The record is from RNAcentral.